This 305-nucleotide ribosomal RNA is filed under the name uncultured bacterium. RNAcentral's name for it is "bacterial SSU rRNA". It matches the Rfam family "Bacterial small subunit ribosomal RNA", at positions 338 to 660 of the family's 1533-position model. The record is from RNAcentral.
CCUACGGGACGCAGCAGUCGGGAAUAUUGCACAAUGGAGGAAACUCUGAUGCAGUGACACCGCGUAUAGGAAGAAGGUUUUCGGAUUGUAAACUAUUUUAGACAGGGAAGAAAAAAGACAGUACCUGUAGAAUAAGCUCCGGCUAACUACGUGCCAGCAGCCGCGGUAAUACGUAGGGAGCAAGCGUUAUCCGGAAUUACUGGGUGUAAAGGGAGCGUAGGCGGGACUGCAAGUUGGGUGUCAAAUCUACCGGCUCAACCGGUAGCCGCACUCAAAACUGCAGUUCUUGAGUGAAGUAGAGGCAG